This 350-nucleotide ribosomal RNA is filed under the name Trichuris trichiura (human whipworm). RNAcentral's name for it is "partial large subunit ribosomal RNA". It matches the Rfam family "Archaeal large subunit ribosomal RNA", at positions 2032 to 2672 of the family's 2987-position model. The record is from RNAcentral. Lineage: Eukaryota; Metazoa; Nematoda; Enoplea; Trichinellida; Trichuridae.
GGUAGCGUAAUCAUUUGUUUAAUAAUUUUAAACUAGAAUGAAAGGAACAAAGUAUACUAACUGUUAAUUAAAAUUUAACAUAAAUCUUUGGCUGAGUGCAAAAACUUAGAAUAAAAAUAUAAACGAGAAGACCCUGGGAAUUUUAAUAUUUUUAUUGGGAUAAUACAAAACCAUACUUAGCUAAGCAACAAAUAACAUUAAUAAAAAGAAAUUACCCCAGGGAUAACAGCACAAUAGUCAUUAAGAGACCUAAUCUCAGUGAUUGAUUAUGACCUCGAUGUUGAAUCAUUUGUACAUAUAGUUUGCAGAAGAAUUUUAUUCUCGUCUGUUCGACGAUAGACAUUACGUGA